This 441-nucleotide ribosomal RNA is filed under the name uncultured bacterium. RNAcentral describes it as "partial 16S ribosomal RNA". It matches the Rfam family "Bacterial small subunit ribosomal RNA", at positions 338 to 795 of the family's 1533-position model. The record is from RNAcentral.
CCUACGGGCGGCUGCAGUGGGGGAUAUUGCACAAUGGGGGGAACCCUGAUGCAGCGACGCCGCGUGGGUGAAGGAGCGUUUCGGCGCGUAAAGCCCUAUCGGCAGGGAAGAAGGAGGACGGUACCUGACUAAGAAGCCCCGGCUGGGUGGGGGCCAGCGGCGGCGGUAAUACGUAGGGGGCGGGGGGGGGCGGGGGGUACUGGGUGUAAGGGGGGCGCAGACGGCAGCGCAAGCCAGGAGUGAAAGCCCGGGGCCCAACCCCGGGACUGCUCUUGGAACUGCGCGGCUGGAGUGCAGGAGGGGCAGGCGGAAUUCCUGGUGUAGCGGUGAAAUGCGUAGAUAUCAGGAGGAACACCGGUGGCGAAGGCGGCCUGCUGGACUGCGACUGACGUUGAGGCCCGAAAGCGUGGGGAGCAAACAGGAUUAGAUACCCCUGUAGUC